CGCUGGCGGCGUGCCUAAUACAUGCAAGUCGAGCGGACAGAUGGGAGCUUGCUCCCUGAUGUUAGCGGCGGACGGGUGAGUAACACGUGGGUAACCUGCCUGUAAGACUGGGAUAACUCCGGGAAACCGGGGCUAAUACCGGAUGGUUGUUUGAACCGCAUGGUUCAAACAUAAAAGGUGGCUUCGGCUACCACUUACAGAUGGACCCGCGGCGCAUUAGCUAGUUGGUGAGGUAACGGCUCACCAAGGCAACGAUGCGUAGCCGACCUGAGAGGGUGAUCGGCCACACUGGGACUGAGACACGGCCCAGACUCCUACGGGAGGCAGCAGUAGGGAAUCUUCCGCAAUGGACGAAAGUCUGACGGAGCAACGCCGCGUGAGUGAUGAAGGUUUUCGGAUCGUAAAGCUCUGUUGUUAGGGAAGAACAAGUACCGUUCGAAUAGGGCGGUACCUUGACGGUACCUAACCAGAAAGCCACGGCUAACUACGUGCCAGCAGCCGCGGUAAUACGUAGGUGGCAAGCGUUGUCCGGAAUUAUUGGGCGUAAAGGGCUCGCAGGCGGUUUCUUAAGUCUGAUGUGAAAGCCCCCGGCUCAACCGGGGAGGGUCAUUGGAAACUGGGGAACUUGAGUGCAGAAGAGGAGAGUGGAAUUCCACGUGUAGCGGUGAAAUGCGUAGAGAUGUGGAGGAACACCAGUGGCGAAGGCGACUCUCUGGUCUGUAACUGACGCUGAGGAGCGAAAGCGUGGGGAGCGAACAGGAUUAGAUACCCUGGUAGUCCACGCCGUAAACGAUGAGUGCUAAGUGUUAGGGGGUUUCCGCCCCUUAGUGCUGCAGCUAACGCAUUAAGCACUCCGCCUGGGGAGUACGGUCGCAAACU
Molecule: ribosomal RNA, 879 nt
Filed under: Bacillus subtilis group sp.
Lineage: Bacteria; Bacillati; Bacillota; Bacilli; Caryophanales; Bacillaceae
Description: bacterial SSU rRNA
Rfam family: Bacterial small subunit ribosomal RNA
Source: RNAcentral